GAUAAACGCUGGCGGCAUGCCUAAUACAUGCAAGUCGAACGAGAUUUAGCUGAAGAGCAAUCAGAAGCUAAUGAAAGUGGCGGACGGGUGAGUAACGCGUGAACAAUCUACCUUGUGCAGGGGAAUAGCCCUGAGAAAUUAGGAAUAAAACCGCAUAAGACCACAGUAUCGCAUGAUACAGGGGUAAAAUCUACGGAGGCACAAGAAGAGUUCGCGUCUGAUUAGCUAGUUGGUGAGGUAACGGCCCACCAAGGCGACGAUCAGUAGCCGGCCUGAGAGGGUGUACGGCCACAUUGGAACUGAGAAACGGUCCAAACUCCUACGGGAGGCAGCAGUAGGGAAUAUUGCACAAUGGGGAACCCUGAUGCAGCAAUGCCGCGUGAAGGAAGAAGGGUUUCGGCUCGUAAACUUCUAUCGAUGGGGAAGGAAGAAAUGACGGUACCCAAGUAAGAAGCCCCGGCUAACUAUGUGCCAGCCGCCGCCGUAA
RNAcentral lists this ribosomal RNA (487 nucleotides) under uncultured bacterium. Its description in RNAcentral is "partial 16S ribosomal RNA". It matches the Rfam family "Bacterial small subunit ribosomal RNA", at positions 28 to 523 of the family's 1533-position model. The record is from RNAcentral.